This 423-nucleotide ribosomal RNA is filed under the name uncultured bacterium. Its description in RNAcentral is "bacterial SSU rRNA". It matches the Rfam family "Bacterial small subunit ribosomal RNA", at positions 362 to 776 of the family's 1533-position model. The record is from RNAcentral.
UCUUCCGCAAUGGACGAACGUCUGACGGAGCAACGCCGCGUGAGUGAUGAAGGUUUUCGGCUCGUAAAACUUCGUUGUUAGGGAAGAACAAGUAUCGUUCGAAUAGGGCGGUACCUUGACGGUACCUAGCCAGAAAGCCACGGCUAACUACGUGCCAGCAGCCGCGGUAAUACGUAGGUGGCAAGCGUUGUCCGGAAUUAUUGGGCGUAAAGCGCGCGCAGGCGGUUUCUUAAGUCUGAUGUGAAAUCUUGCGGCUCAACCGCAAGCGGCCAUUGGAAACUGGGAGACUUGAGUGCAGAAGAGGAGAGUGGAAUUCCACGUGUAGCGGUGAAAUGCGUAGAGAUGUGGAGGAACACCAGUGGCGAAGGCGACUCUCUGGUCUGUAACUGACGCUGAGGCGCGAAAGCGUGGGGAGCGAACAGG